This is a long non-coding RNA of Arachis stenosperma, 1293 nucleotides long. RefSeq lists it as uncharacterized. The record is from RefSeq and is a predicted model, not a curated record. Lineage: Eukaryota; Viridiplantae; Streptophyta; Magnoliopsida; Fabales; Fabaceae. The transcript has 4 exons.
UCCUUUCACUCACGCGGCGCAGUCACCCACUCACCCUCGGUGGUGCUCACUGCUCACUGCUCACACAGACACGAGACACCCACUCACCCACAGGCCACAGCUCACUUCCAUCUUCCAUUCUUCCUCCUCCACGCGGCCAUGUCUGAGAGAAUGAGAGCCUGAGAGAGCCAGAGAGCCAGAGAGCGUCGUCCAUUCAUCUCCGUCGUAGGCUCGCAGGCGUAGCAAAGAUCAGCAUCGUCGUGUAGCCAGCAGCAUCGUCCAGUUCGCGUCCUCGUGCAGUCCGGAGUCCACGCCGUCGUCCAGUCAUAAGCCGUCGGAACAAACCCUAAGUCGUGGCAAGAAACCCUAAGCAGAGCAGCACUCCAGUCGCCGAGUCCUCUCCUGCAAAAAGCACCUGAAUAAUGUCUUCUUUGGAGGAAUAAAAAACCGAAAAACCGACCAAACCAAACCGCUGUUGGUUCGGUUCGGUUGUUUAAACAGCAGCCAACCGAAUGGUUGGUCUCAUUGUAGAACCGAUCAGGUCGGUUCGGUUGGUUUUCGGUCCAAAACCGAACCAAACCGAACCGAUUACACCCCUAGAAGCCACCACAGCCCCCAAUCGGCGCAGGCACCGCAGCAACAGUUUUGACCACCGCACCCCACAGCCCCCACCGCGUGGUUGUCAUCGCCGAGCUCGCCUUCUUUGUGUUCGCCGGUGUCGCGUCCUCUGUCGUCGCCUUCGCUCGCCUUCCUCCUCGCCGACCUCGCCUUCUCUGUGUUAACCGAAGAUUGGGCCAAGGAACAAACAUUGAUAUGGCUGGCAGGACCAGACUGAGCUGCUUGACUAUUUCCGGCAACAUAAUGCGGAGGCCACGGGAUCUUCAAUGUUGAUCAUGUUAGAUUGUCUCAGUUUUGACACUUCUCGUGUUCCAGUAGAGUUUUUGGUGAAAACAUUGAUCCCAAAUUGUGAAGAAUUCAUCAAGAGUUUUCGAGCUUUGCUAGAUGGCAAUAAAGGUCCUGAGCAUCCCACCCCUUGAGGCACGCAAGAUUAUUGGAGAGGAGGGUUGGUCUAAAAUACAAGGAUUGAAUACGGAAAUACAUCGUCUUCUUUUAGUUUAAAAACUUGAUGUACUGAUACACUCCAAAUGUCAUUGUGUUAAGCUUUUGAACUCUAAAACUUUGUGUGUCUAUUAUACUUUGAUUUUAUAGUCAAAUUAUGCAGUGGUUUAUGAUAGAUUUUAGAUUUGAUGUGCUUAGCUUAUUCACAGAGAUAUAUCCUGUGAUGCCAAUAUUUCCAUGUUCAAUUAUAAUUUG